UUUUUUUUUUUUUUUUGAAGCGAAUCCUAUGAGGCUAUGAUAAACCGAUCAUCGCUCGGUCCUGCCUGUGAAAUCGUCUCUAGGGUUUGGGUCUCUCUCAAUUCCAUCGCGCUUUUGUACCUCUCGCUCCGUUAUUCUUCUUAUUCACGAGUCUCUGUUCUAUUUUAUUUGUUGUUGUUUUUGUUUGUCUUUGCAGGACUUUUGGAAGCGAAUCAAUCCUCCGCUUCUGAAUUUUUUCACACUACUACUCCUGAGUCCUGAGUCCCUACGGUUUGGGGUUAUUAAAUCUUAUUUUUAGUUUUUGCUGUUUUAGAUUGAUUGUGGUUGAUAAUGCUAUGAUCGAUUUAUAAUUUGCUCAGGCACUUUGUUCUCACUUCUUAGUUUUCAAACUUUGGGUUUUCUAAAUUGUAUCGAAUUAACUUGUCAUCUUUGUUUUGUUUUGUUGAUUUUAGAUUUUGUGGAGGAGGAGGAUGCGCUACGAUUGAUCUGUGAUGGCUUUGAUUGAUCAUUGUCAAGCGGGUCGUCGUAGAGGUGAUAUGCUUACUUCUGAGAGCUCCUCUGUUGCACUAGGCUGGACGUACAUGUGAGGUUUUGGAUGUGUGCUUUUACUGAUCAGUUAUGGCUUUGAUGGACACGCUUCACUUCUUCUCUGUGCAACGUCUUCAUUGGUUUUUUUGGAAGGGAAUUAUGAUCUGAUCAUCACGUGUAUUUCUCCAUAAUACAUCUUCAGGCCUCCUCACGGUUCCUUGCUCGCUCUAAACGUUUGUGAAGGAUCCUACCAUUGAUCGUUGAUGGCUUUGACUGAUCGUUGUCACUCUAGAUCUUGUUAUUCUUCUAAGGUUUUGUUUCUAAACUGCAACGGUUGAAUAUGUUCUGUUAUUUCAGCUUUUGAAGGAUGCUUUUAUCGAUGAGAGUCAUGGGUUUGAUGGACAUGCCUCUUCUCUGUUCUACGUCUUCAGGGUUUUUUCCUUCCUCUUAACACUUCUUUUACUCUCUUUUUUUUUUGGUUCCUUACGUUCCUUACGUUCCUUUCUUCUUCGUCUUGCAGGUGAUUUGGAAGCGAAUUAUGAUCAUAGCAUAAUCUUCUCGAGGCUACGUUUCAAGGCUUUCUCACAGAUUUGUGUAGGAGGAUCCUACAAUUGGUUUGGAUGAUGUUUGUACUGAUGAGAAUGAUGGCUUUGAUGGAAAUACUUCUUCUCCUUGCUACGUCUUCAGAGGUCAGAGAGAUUGAUUGAAGAAUGAGGUAGACUUAAGCAGACUGCUUAAGACAUCUUCAGUGAUCCUAAUGGAAGAAUUCUGAGUUACGUGGGCUCCCAUCAUCUGCUUUAUGGCAACAUUUCAAGGUCUGAUUGACAAGUAAUGUUUUGCUCCAACAUUUUGGUGUCUGCUCCCUGUCCAUAUGAAAUCACCUUUCUUAGCUAUACCAAGAUUGAUUGAAGAAUGAAGAAGAAGAAUACUCAAGUCUGCUUUAUCUCAGAGAGAUGGAUUGAAGAGUGAGAAGAAGAAGACUUAAGCAGACUGCUUAAGUGAUCCUAAUGGAAGUUAUAAGAAGACACUCUGAAUUCUGCGGUUUGUAUUACUUGCUCUUAGAUGAAGUUGGAUCAUUUGCGGAGAGCUGGCGAUGUCUUUUUUAAUUUGCUGAGGUCGCUCGAGACAGUCUUACACAACGAUGGUCAAAUCCUAUUCUGUAGAUUGGAUUGGGGUUUGUUUCUGGAGUUCAGAGAGACGACGACAAUGUUGGGUUUUAGCAAGAAGAGCUAACAUUCAGUAUACGUGGAAAGAUCAGAGAGAUGGAUUGAAGAAUGAAGUAGAAGACUCAAGUCUGCUUUAGGAACCCAUGGUGUCAUCGACAACACCAGUUAUGAUGAAGGUGAUGAAGUAUGCUUUGUUUGCUCUUGUGUCCAGAGGCUCAUCCAUUGGACUCACAUCGCAUACAUCAUUUGUGUGCUUUCAUUCUCUUGUGCAGACUGUCCGUUUUAAGAAUGAGAAAUGCCCUAGACCAAUGUGCUAUACAAGGCCUAUGGAAGUGAAAAGGAGGACACCCCAAAUUGUAAUGUCCCCGAAUUUGAGAUUCUAUAGGAAGCUCGUGAUGUGUGCUUCAUGGCAAG
This is a non-coding RNA of Camelina sativa (false flax), 2108 nucleotides long. The record is from RefSeq and is a predicted model, not a curated record. Lineage: Eukaryota; Viridiplantae; Streptophyta; Magnoliopsida; Brassicales; Brassicaceae.